Molecule: ribosomal RNA, 253 nt
Filed under: uncultured bacterium
Lineage: Bacteria
Description: partial 16S ribosomal RNA
Rfam family: Bacterial small subunit ribosomal RNA
Source: RNAcentral
UACGUAGGGUGCAAGCGUUAUCCGGAAUUAUUGGGCGUAAAGGGUGCGUAGAUGGCCUGAUAAGUUAGCAGUGGGAAAUCGAGGCUCAACCUCGUGGAAGCUGGUAAUACUGUCAGGCUCGAGUGCAGGAGAGGUUAACGGAACUCCAUGUGGAGCGGUAAAAUGUGUAGAUAUUCGGAAGAACACCAGUGGCGAAGGCAGCGAAUUGGCGCUUUAUUGACGCUCAGGCACGAAAGCAUGGGGAUCAAACAGG